This 74-nucleotide transfer RNA is filed under the name Caudoviricetes sp. RNAcentral's name for it is "tRNA-OTHER". It matches the Rfam family "tRNA". From Rfam's summary of the family: Transfer RNA (tRNA) molecules are approximately 80 nucleotides in length. The record is from RNAcentral. Lineage: Duplodnaviria; Heunggongvirae; Uroviricota; Caudoviricetes.
GGAGAGGUAGCUCAGUUCGGUAGAGCGUUACAUUCUAAAGUAAAGGUCAGUGAUUCAAAUUCACUUCUCUCCCA